CCCGGCCACCGAUGGUGCCUACGGGCAGCACGGACACACCGGAGCCACCGGCACGGGGAUGCACGAUGCCGACACCGGCGAGAAGAAGGGCGUCAUGGAGAAUAUCAAUGACAAGCUCCCUGGUGACCACGAGGACCACCAGCAGACUGGUGGCACCUACGGUCAACCGGGGCAGACUGCCGCGGCGACGCAUGGCGCCUCAGUUACCGGCGGCACCUAUGGCCAGCAGGGAAACACCGGUAUGGAGACACAUGGCGCCCCGGCCACCGAUAGUGCCUCCAGGCAGCACGGACACACUGGGUCCACCGACACGGUGAUUCACGGCACCGACACCAGCGAGAAGAAGGACGUCGACAAGCUCCCUGGUGGCCAUGGGGACCACCAGCAGACUGGUGGCACCUACGGGCAGAAGGGACACACGGCCGCGGAACCGCAUGGCGCCUCAGCAACCGGCGACACCUAUGGCCAGGAGGGAAACACCAGUACGGGGACACAUGGCGCCCCUGCCACCAAUGGUGGCUACGGGAAGCACGGACACACCAGGACCACCGGGACGGG
RNAcentral lists this long non-coding RNA (558 nucleotides) under Triticum aestivum (bread wheat). Its description in RNAcentral is "long non-coding RNA (TAES_LNC013699)". Lineage: Eukaryota; Viridiplantae; Streptophyta; Magnoliopsida; Poales; Poaceae. The record is from RNAcentral.